AACCUUCGGGGAACGAUAACGGCGUCGAGCGGCGGACGGGUGAGUAAUGCCUAGGAAAUUGCCCUGAUGUGGGGGAUAACCAUUGGAAACGAUGGCUAAUACCGCAUAAUACCUACGGGUCAAAGAGGGGGACCUUCGGGCCUCUCGCGUCAGGAUAUGCCUAGGUGGGAUUAGCUAGUUGGUGAGGUAAUGGCUCACCAAGGCGACGAUCCCUAGCUGGUCUGAGAGGAUGAUCAGCCACACUGGAACUGAGACACGGUCCAGACUCCUACGGGAGGCAGCAGUGGGGAAUAUUGCACAAUGGGCGCAAGCCUGAUGCAGCCAUGCCGCGUGUGUGAAGAAGGCCUUCGGGUUGUAAAGCACUUUCAGUCGUGAGGAAGGUAGUGUAGUUAAUAGCUGCAUUAUUUGACGUUAGCGACAGAAGAAGCACCGGCUAACUCCGUG
Molecule: ribosomal RNA, 444 nt
Filed under: Vibrio harveyi
Lineage: Bacteria; Pseudomonadati; Pseudomonadota; Gammaproteobacteria; Vibrionales; Vibrionaceae
Description: bacterial SSU rRNA
Rfam family: Bacterial small subunit ribosomal RNA
Source: RNAcentral